RNAcentral lists this ribosomal RNA (1023 nucleotides) under Lojkania enalia. RNAcentral's name for it is "SSU rRNA". It matches the Rfam family "Eukaryotic small subunit ribosomal RNA", at positions 75 to 1106 of the family's 1831-position model. Lineage: Eukaryota; Fungi; Ascomycota; Dothideomycetes; Pleosporales. The record is from RNAcentral.
UAUACCGUGAAACUGCGAAUGGCUCAUUAAAUCAGUUAUCGUUUAUUUGAUAGUACCUUACUACUUGGAUAACCGUGGUAAUUCUAGAGCUAAUACAUGCUAAAAACCCCGACUUCGGGAGGGGUGUAUUUAUUAGAUAAAAAACCAAUGCCCUUCGGGGCUCUUUGGUGAUUCAUGAUAACUUAACGGAUCGCAUGGCCUUGCGCCGGCGACGGUUCAUUCAAAUUUCUGCCCUAUCAACUUUCGAUGGUAAGGUAUUGGCUUACCAUGGUUUCAACGGGUAACGGGGAAUUAGGGUUCGAUUCCGGAGAGGGAGCCUGAGAAACGGCUACCACAUCCAAGGAAGGCAGCAGGCGCGCAAAUUACCCAAUCCCGACACGGGGAGGUAGUGACAAUAAAUACUGAUACAGGGCUCUUUUGGGUCUUGUAAUCGGAAUGAGUACAAUUUAAACCCCUUAACGAGGAACAAUUGGAGGGCAAGUCUGGUGCCAGCAGCCGCGGUAAUUCCAGCUCCAAUAGCGUAUAUUAAAGUUGUUGCAGUUAAAAAGCUCGUAGUUGAACCUUGGGCCUGGCUGGCCGGUCCGCCUCACCGCGUGCACUGGUCCGGCCGGGCCUUUCCUUCUGGAGAGCCUCAUGCCCUUUACUGGGUGUGUAGGGGAACCAGGACUUUUACUUUGAAAAAAUUAGAGUGUUCAAAGCAGGCCUUUGCUCGAAUACGUUAGCAUGGAAUAAUAGAAUAGGACGUGCGGUCCUAUUUUGUUGGUUUCUAGGACCGCCGUAAUGAUUAAUAGGGAUAGUCGGGGGCAUCAGUAUUCAAUUGUCAGAGGUGAAAUUCUUGGAUUUAUUGAAGACUAACUACUGCGAAAGCAUUUGCCAAGGAUGUUUUCAUUAAUCAGUGAACGAAAGUUAGGGGAUCGAAGACGAUCAGAUACCGUCGUAGUCUUAACCGUAAACUAUGCCGACUAGGGAUCGGGCGAUGUUUCUAUCUUGACUCGCUCGGCACCUUACGAGAAAUCAAAGUUU